UCUAGGUGAGUCUGUGUAAACAGCUCAUUGAUAACACCCUUAUAGCUUACUAGCCUUAGUUUUUCUUUACGAUCUCAUCUACGCUAUAAAUUCUGAAGACUUUAGCUAUACAGUUAAAUACAUGAUAUCAUAAUGCCAGACUGACUUUAAAAUAUCCUGUGACCUUACCACUUUUAACUAUUUAAAUCUGGAAAAAAUAAGCAUUUUCUCAUUUUGAAGAAAGGAGUUCUGCGGGUAAUGUGUGUUAAGGUUCUUAUUGAGAAUGUCUUAGAAAAAUGUGUAAAAA
RNAcentral lists this long non-coding RNA (286 nucleotides) under Bos taurus (domestic cattle). Its description in RNAcentral is "long non-coding RNA NONBTAT009062". The record is from RNAcentral. Lineage: Eukaryota; Metazoa; Chordata; Mammalia; Artiodactyla; Bovidae.